CCCCGCACUCCGCGGCUUUUUUUCCGGUGGCUUUGUUGAAAUCAGCAUGCAGCAUACAUUCGUUAAAUUGAUCAAGCCGGUGGCGUCCAUAUUCGUACAUCAAGUUAAGCAACUUCACAUAGCAGGAUCAAUCGGAACAAAAAAGUGGAGGAUGUUUCUUUAAGAGGCACUGCAAACCCGUGCAGACUGCAGGAUGCAACACCUCUGACGACGGCAGCACACCAAAAUGUAAAAGAAUAAAAUGGAAAGAUAACAUGUACCUGAUGCGGCCAGACAUGAGCCAACAAUGUACAUCCACACCACUAGCUUCCAAAGGCCCCCUCAAUGGAAAAACGAGAACAUGUACGUAUAGCCCAGGGUCGGGAAAAAAGGAAAGAACUUCAGAGUUUAACAUGAAGCACUCACCUUUUCCUUGGGACCAUUUCAAAGAUAAAUGGUGUUAAUCCUGAUGCCCUGGCUGUUGGCUCCAAUUUUGCUUCUCUGAGUCUGGCCUGCCUGAUUGUCCCCCAGCAGUUUAAUUGCCCUUACAGUUAAUUUCUUGACCUCAGCGGUGGCACGUCAGGUGAUCCAGCUCCACAGUGCAUGGCAUCACAACAGGGGAUUAGGUUACUUCCUAUCGUAACUGCACUGAGGGCUCUGGAAUGCUGUGGGAGGUACGGUGGGGUGGAAAUCGAUCGCCCUGCCAUUGCAGAGUAUUGUAAAUCCUUGAUUUGUAGCGCUGCCACAUUGUGGAGACAGGAGUGGAAAGCCCAGGAAACUAAAGGUGGGCUGAGGAUCGUCAGGAGGACAUCUGUGAAGAAUCAAGACAGGGACACGGCAGUUUCAGAGAUCAUUUGUCUUUGAGCUGAGCCUCGCAGCGAAAAACACCUGGCGCAGAUGUGUGUCGACAGCUGAAGGUGGUGUAAAAUGUGCUGAGGUUUGUUUUGCCUGGACUUCAGACCUCACUGGGCCUUGCGGUUCAGGGCUUUCCACAGCUGAGCAAGGAGGUGCACCUUGCUGUGAGGUGAGAGAAUAAUAGAGGCUUCUGAUCCUCCUACAUCUGUUUUUCUUGAACUAGCAAGGAGGGGCUCGUGGGAGCUGGAACAUGGGAGCUACAGCACAAGGAAAAUGUGGGAACCUGAAUGAACACACCAAAACAACAAAUACGGUGCUUUUGUGCUAGAAAUGAUGUUUUACAAAUGCAAUGAAAACUCCAUAGAGUUCACAUGCUCAUCAGUUGCAUUUUCUGUAAAUCUCUCUGCUUGAACUGCCUAUUUUACGAGCUGAUUUAACUACCUCUGACUGUAACCUGCCAAACCCAUUUAUUAUUGUUUGUUAUUUUAUUGUAUUGUUAGAUCCCUCAUUACAUUUCUAUUACAGUUAAUUCUUUCAUAACUAAUACACUAGGCCAGGCAGUGGAGGACGGCCUCCCCGGGUUCCUCUUUAUUCUUCCCAUUGGGGAGUUUUAUUUUCUUGCCACCGUUUGGGUGUUUUUCUUCCCACUGGGUAGUUUAUUUUACCUCAAGCACUCACUUUUUUGGGGGUUCACGCCUGACUUUUCCCCAGUUUUCUGUAAUGUGUCACUGACAUCAUCCCGGAAAAAAAACACUAUGCAAAUAAAGUUGAAUUGAAUAUCCUCAUGUGCAUUGUGUAUCAGCAGUAAAAGUAGGAAGAACGCACACUCUAAAAAGGUGCUGAUUAAAGGUCCAUUAGUCAUAGCAAAAAAGUCAAAAUCACACAC
Long non-coding RNA from Anguilla anguilla (European eel), 1720 nucleotides. RefSeq lists it as uncharacterized. The record is from RefSeq and is a predicted model, not a curated record. Lineage: Eukaryota; Metazoa; Chordata; Actinopteri; Anguilliformes; Anguillidae. The transcript is spliced from 7 exons.